AGUCACUGACAUUAGAUACCCGCGUAGUCCAGGGUGUAAACGCUGCGGGCUUGGUGUUGGGGGUCCUUAGUGGGCGCCCAGUGCCGGAGAGAAGUUGUUAAGCCUGCUGCUUGGGAGUAUGUCCGCAAGGAUGAAACUUAAAGGAAUUGGCAGGGAGCACCGCAACGGGAGGAGCGUGCGGUUCAAUUGGAUUCAACGCCGAAAAACUCACCAGGAGCGACGGAUAUAUGAAGGUCAAGCUGAUGACUUUACCUGAUUUUCCG
Molecule: ribosomal RNA, 263 nt
Filed under: uncultured archaeon
Lineage: Archaea
Description: partial 16S ribosomal RNA
Rfam family: Archaeal small subunit ribosomal RNA
Source: RNAcentral